This 119-nucleotide ribosomal RNA is filed under the name Chinchilla lanigera (long-tailed chinchilla). Lineage: Eukaryota; Metazoa; Chordata; Mammalia; Rodentia; Chinchillidae. The record is from RNAcentral.
GUGUACAGCCAUACCACCUUGAAUGUGCUCGAUCUCGUCUGAUCUCGGAAGCUAAGCAGGGUCGGGCCUGGUUAGUACUUGGAUGGAAAACCAAAAUACUUCGACAGCCAUUUUAUUUA